UCCCUUGUAUUAUGUGGGCGGUAUCGGAAACGACCGCAAAACGCUGUCGUAGGCGUUAGAACCACUAAAAUAUGAGGGUUU
This 81-nucleotide small RNA is filed under the name Flavobacterium crassostreae. The record is from RNAcentral. Lineage: Bacteria; Pseudomonadati; Bacteroidota; Flavobacteriia; Flavobacteriales; Flavobacteriaceae.